UUAAUAAUAAUAAUAAUCCAAUCUGUUAUGAGUUUGGGGGCAAUCUCUGUUUUCUAUGUCUUCUUUCUGUUUGGUAAGUUUCCUUCUCUCAAGAAGGUGAGCACAGCUCCUACCUGGCAGGUGGUUAGAGACCCUGGCUUUAUGCACUUGUAGUUUGUGUGUUUGUAACAGAACAGCCACUCUGUCUGGAACACAUUAGGUCUCCUCACACUGCUAGUACCACUUGCUUCCCUGUUGGAACCAAAGAGGAACAGAAUGCAAGGCCGGACCUCCCUAUUUGUUGAAGAUUAGAAGUUUGUGUCCCUACAAAAUUCAUAUUUUAAAAUGCUUAUCCUGGGGCUAGAGAGAUAGGUUGGUGAUUAGGAGUCCAACUCCUCUUCCAGAGGGACCCAAGCUCUAUUUGUGGGCCCUUCGUUACGUGGCUCACAUUGUCUGUACUUCCAGCUCCUGGAGACCCUGUGCUCUCUUCUGGCCUCUAGAGGAACACAAGCCCACAUGUGUAAACCCAUAGGCAGACAAAUGAUUAAAAAUAAACAUUUAAAAAUUGCUAACCCCAAAUGUGAUGGUGUCAGAAGGUGGGGCCUUUGGGAGGUGACUGGGUUUUAACAUCUCCACACAUGGGCCUUAAUGAAUGUGAUCAGCACCCACUUAAAAAGAAAUCUGGAGCUGGCAAGAUGGCUCAGUGGGUAAAAGGUACUGGUCACAAAGCCUGAUGACUCGGUUCCUCCUGGGUUCCAUAUGGUGGAAAGUGAGAACCAACUCCUUCCUGCCAGUUGUCUUCUGACCUCUACACGUGCCGUAUCGUGCUUGUGUUCAAGGGCCUGUAUGUUCAGGGUAGGUCUUCCCAUGUCAGUUACACCUUUACUGACACACUUGAGGUAUGUCUCCUAGGUGACCUCAUAUCUAGGUGACAAUGAAGAUUUACCAUCACCAGGAGCUUAUGACCAGAUACAACCAGAGGGGUGUCCUCUGCCUUUGCCUCCUCCUCAGUGUCCAGUUCCCAUAUCUGAGUCCUGCAGGAGAUCGCCAUGAGCCCUAUGAUCACUUCUGCAGCUGCCAAGCCUAGGCUACAUGGAGCCUUCAUGGGUUGGCAGUCCUGGGCUACCAUGUUGCCAACGUCUCUCUCCAACUGGCAUUGAACAAAUAUUAGUGGACCGAGCCCUGGAGCCCAGCAGAAGGAAGAGAGAACAGAGCAGAGAAAUCCCUGUGUAGACACAACAGUGAAUCCUGACUGUGCUCCAGGACAAGGACAUGGAGGACAAAUGUGAGCACAUGACAUCAGAAACAUAUGCAGAGAGACAAAGUCUACACUCAAGCAAGGCCUGUCCUGAUCUCCCUUUUGCUGAUGACUGUGGCGUCCUGGCCAGUCCAGAAAUGCCUGGAAGGGUUCCUGGCUUGCUUCUGUGUGUGCCAUGCUGUGCGCCCAUGCAUGUGGUUUGUCAUAGGGAACGUUUCUUGGUGUUCUAUAGUAAGAUCUUCAACCCAAGCUCCAGCUGGGAGGAGCACCUUCGUCCACUGACUUUGAGAUGACUGCCUGGUCUGCUUAGCUAGCAGCACUCUGUGCCUUGCAAUCCCCACCAUGCAAGUCUGCUCCUUCCAGAGGUCUGCUGGCUUCCUCGGAUCUAAGGAAACCCCUCUUCCAGAAAGUGGUUUCUGACUCACAGGGGCACCUAGAGACAUGUGGAUUAAGAAGGCCUUCCAGGCCUCUGGCCAAAUUCUAAUGGUGAAAUUUGAAGCCGGGUCUUUGAAAUUCAGAAUAUCUCUUCCACACUGUGGAUCUGAUCACCACCCCCACCCAGAAGGCAGUAGGGUAGGAAGGACACAUCAUCCCUGCCACCACCAGCCAUCUGGAGACUGAGAUGGGAGGGCUGUGGCAGAGUAAUCUGUGACCAGGGCUUGGGGACUUGGUGUGGGGCCUGUAAUGCCUGGCUAGACUCCACCUCAUCAAGAAGAUUAAGGGUAAUUGAGUAGCGGCUCUCACAAGGCUACUUGAAAGUUGGAGGUUGGCCCAAAACCUGCCCACUAGGAUGCGCUCAUGCCAGGAUUGUGAGAGCUCCCAUCAAAAACCAGAAGAACAUCCAGGCCUCCUGUGGCUGGAGGAAACCUGUGGCAACCAGAUCAGGGCUCUUCUGACACAGAUAAGACACCUGAUGCUCAUUGGUCUGUGAGGGACACUUCACUAUAACUAUCCUCAUCUUUGCCAUCUCACAGGGGAAGAAAGUGAGGCCUCCAGAGGGAUCCCAGAAUCCCGGUGUCAGGGAAGACUAUUGAGGUCAAGUGCCAUAGCCCAAGUGACUCUGGGCAGAGUGCCCCUUGCUAAGCUCCGGGAACCACCCUCCUUAUUGAGUCAGACAGAGCCAAGAAUGAGAGCCUUGAGAUAGAGGGAUCAAGCCGAACUGCACACUAACCCUUUUCUUUCCAUCUUACAACACUGCUCUUGCAGGUACCUGCAGAAACCUGAAGGGGGCACUGGAUCUGGAGUUUCAUGAAGUUGUGAGCUGCCCAGCAUGGGUGCCAAUAACACUGGUCUUUAGUAGCAGGAACUGGCACACUUAAACAUGGAGCUGUCUCUCCAGCCCUGCACAUGGGGCCCGCUAACUUCUGACCUCUUAAACCUUCAUUGACUCCCACUACUUCCAGGACCCCCUGAGGACCUCCCUGCUGCCUUCUUCCCACAACACCAGUCUCCCUGUCAUAUCCCUGUCUCUUCUCUCCUGUGCCUCCCUGCCAUCCUCUAAAGCGCUUUCUACGAAGCCUUCCUGUGUUCAUUUUGUAACUGGGGCAGGUCAUAGAGACCGGUGUCAGUUUCUUAGCCUUCAUCUUCAUCAUUACAUCCUCUUGGUGAGAUAAAGGGAAAAAGAAAGGGAACCUUGUCUCUCUUCUGAGCUCUCAAAGCAAACUUGCUCCGGGUCCUGUGUUCUGUUAACCACAAGAAGAGCUCAUGGCACAUACUCUUCCUUUGAGCUGCCCCACUGGGGAUCCUGAACCUCAAGCCUCAGGGCCAGGACACUAGGGCUCUAUUUUCCACAACCUAGAAGGCUCAGACUCUUUCUUUAACCCUGAGGAGAACUGAAUGUUAGCUCCCAGAUUUGUGUGAUGGGCGAGGGUGGAGCCAACUAAGACCCGCCCCCUCCAGGGCUGGUGAGAGUGUUCAUUAUUUCCCUGCCAUGCCAGCCAGGCCUUGGGGUGAAGCCAGCCCCAGCUUUUGAUGGGAGACAGAUUUAAUUACCUUCUCAGGCAGAGGGCGAGGAUAAUGAGAAGCAGAUAAAAAGCUUGGCAAGGCAGGGCCCUUGAGCACUCGGCCUGCCUACCCCUACAUACAGCCUCUGGGGGUUCAGGGAGAGCAAGAGUGUGGCUUCCCAGGCAGCUGUGGCCCUUGUGUAAUGCCACCACCAUGCCCGAGACUGAGUCAGCACUCUGUCUGGGUUACACAGAGCACUCCCACCCCAGUGCGGAGGAAUGCUCGGUCUUCUGCAGCAGUGUGGAGUUAGUCCUAGGACAGAUGGGAAACAAGACACAAGCAGACACCAGGGCUUCUGGCUUGUACGAGGCCUGAAAGUUCUGAUGGAAUGGGACAUUAAGAAGAAAGAUUGUGGAGAAAGGAGAUCUGUGUGGGGGUGUGGCAAGGCUUGUCAUACUCAGGAUUGGGGCAUCUUUGCCUUUCCCAGGCAGCCUGCCUGACCUGGUGUUUUCUUUCAAGUGCUUAUAGGAUUGUCCCAGAGCUUCCUUCUGAGUCUGUUCCAAAAUUCUUUUAUAAUUGAAACUAGGAAUCCUGAGAGGGGACCCCAUUUUCUUGGUAACAUAUGGUAACCUAGCUGAGGCUCCAUGAAGUUGUCAGUAACGGUAUGGCUAGACUUGGGAACUUUACAGAGUGGCUAAGGCACUGGAGUGUUCUUGGAUUCUUGUUGGUGAGGAUAAGGAGGGAGAGCGGAGGUGGUGGGAGAACAGAAUGGGGUGCCUGCUUGAAGAUGACAAAAGGACUAGGCAAGAGGAAGAGGUUGGGCAGACAAGUGAAGAACAUUCUUGUGGGGUCCAUUCUGGAUUCUGGGUUCUUCCCUGAGGGUGACACAGGGUGCUACACAAACUAGGCGGGUAUCUUUCUGCUCCCUGCCUUUCCUGCCUUUCCCUUAGAAAUGCCAUCAUGCUGGGCUCCACAGCAGAUCCCUAGGGGGAUAAACAAACCUGAGUGCCCAGAGAAGGAUUGAUAGAGAAGGGCCAGAGAUGAGGGUGGGUCUUCUGCUCAGACCUGGUUCUCAUGCUGAUGACCGGAGCCUGAGCUGGGAGGACCUGAAGGGGAAAUUGUCAAACUAUCCCUUCAUUCCACUGGACUCCUUUCCAAAGGGGCAGCCGGAAGGGCAAUCAGGAGGUGUGGAACUUAAUACUGUAGCCCAUACUCCAGAUAGGAAAUUUAUUUUCUUAAUCCUGGGUAAGCUAACACUAUCCUCCACAUCAUAGUUUCCUGAUCAGUAAAGUGAGGCUUGAAACCACAUCUCAGGAUUGUGGCAUGAAUUUUAAAAAGAGAGCCACACCGAGGAUAAUGUAUGUAAAAUUCCUAACAUGAUGCCUGGCAAGGGGCAGCUCCCAACCACUAGCUGUAAUGAUGGUUACUAUUACUAAUCCCGUUGGGCAGUGCUUCUCCACCUUUGAAAACUCUAGGUUCCUUUGUGAGAGGCACACAGGUCUCAAACCCCUGCCUUCUUCCACACAGGAUUUAAAAAGAAAUAAAGGCUGGAGGGGUGGGGAGACAUUUCAAGAACUUACAAGAGAGCUUCCCAAAUACAGGGAUGGCUCCGGGUGGGCUGGGAUGGGGAAGGUGUUCUGGGCUGCAUUUCUGAGUGUGGUCCCGAGGCUCGGAGCAACCACUUGGGUAGGACUCCCCUCUUUCCCAGGCUACCCGCAGUGUGUGUUGGAUCCCCGCCCAGCCUCGCAGCUCAGGCCGCAGUGACUUUGAGCCAAGAACAGAGGAAGCUCUUUCGAAUACAAAUACCUUUGGACCCUCAGAUCCCAGCCGGCGCGCCAUUCUCAUGCUAAUGAAUGGGGCUCCAGUUCAGGUGGUUUUGAAGGGGAAAUUGCCAACACAGUUACCCAGCCCAGCCUGCUGCGUUUCUCCUCUGCCAGGACUAAGACCUCGGGGAUCAUUUUUAGCACGGCCUCCAGUACCAGCACCAGCUCUACCCCAGUGACUCUAUAGUUCUGCAAGUCUCAUGACUGGCUGGGCUCCAUUAUUUGGGGUUUAUGAACUGAACAGAUCCUUCUAAAUCAAUGUAAUAAUUCACGUGACAGUGAUAGCUGCCAUUCACACACCUACUCUCCAGUCAGGGUGUUUGGGAGUGUGCUCAGAGCACUGGGUCCGUCAUUGUUCCGUCUGCAGCAGUGAGGCCCAGAAAGUAAGGCAAAGUGCUCCAGACCUUGCCACUGUGGUGCCAGGCUCCAAAGUCAGAUGUUGUAUAGGGCUACACCUGUAGGACAUAGGCCUUGAUCAUAGGUCACAUCACCCUAUGAUCAUCAGUUUGGGGUUUCUGGGCCUGUAAAUAUUCCCCCACUGAAGCCCCAUUUCAUUUUUCUGUUGUCUUAUCAUUGCCCUCUCCCCUUUUAUCCAGACCUGGACAAUACCUGUUUUAACUCAAUGAACUACUCACCCUUCAAGGCCUAAGUCACUUGUACCAGCUCUGCUACAUAAAGCUGUCCAAGCAAGCUCUCUUCAUUCUGUCUCCACUGUUCAGAUCUUUAGGAUAGUCCUCAGGUGUGGUCCUGUCCCCUUCUGGGCUGGGAAGUACUUGAGGGAGAGUACCUGCCUAGUUCAUCUCCACAAUGCCAAUGCCUGGCACUGAAGAGGUCAACUCAGGAACUUUGGAAAAUUCCAUCUCCUCUCCUGGAAGAGAAAGGUCAUAGAGGACUUAGGCACCACCCCCUCCGGAAGGGAGGGGCUAAUUACAUUCCUCAGACAAGGUGGGGGGAGGGAGGAACCAACCAUCAGCCACUUGCGGGUAUGGGAAGUCCUGAGCACAUAGACACAUUCUGUGACCAUUGGCCACCUAUAGACAAGGGAAGUCCUUGCCACCUCAUUCCCUAAAGACCAAUCAGUUUAAAAGUCGCACUGUUCUGCCAAUCACAAUGUGCGCAAUGGCUGCGGCUCUGAAAACUGUAUAAAAACUUACCGAAUGGGCUGUGCAGAGUCCUUGUUCUCUCUUCUUCUUGUGCAGGGUGACCCCAGCAUGCUGGAACAAUAAAAUUCCUCUUGUUUUUGCAACGA
Molecule: long non-coding RNA, 6253 nt
Organism: Mus musculus (house mouse)
Lineage: Eukaryota; Metazoa; Chordata; Mammalia; Rodentia; Muridae
Product: predicted gene, 32820
Exons: 3
Source: RefSeq, a predicted model, not a curated record